CUCAGUCUGUGUAUAUCCCGGCUGGGAGAGGCUGCCAUUGUGAGGGUUCUCAAAGAGCAUUUCCAAUGUUAAAUAUUCCACCAGAAUAAACGGCUGGCUGCAGAUGGUUCCAUCGUGGUCUCAAUCACACAACGCAACGAGAGAGUACAAAACCGCUACACGGACAUCCGGUCACCUGUUCCUUCUUCACAAUAAAACCCCACAUCUGCGUUUUAUUUUGUGAGAUUUACUGAUUCGAAUGUACGAAUGUUAUGUCAAAUAUUAAAUAUGAAUCUUCUUUAAUGCUUCUCAGUAUUAAAGCUUACACAUGAAAAUACACAUGAGAAAUGUGUUGUUUUCAUGCACAAACAUGAAGACAUAUACACAAAGGGUUCGUUAUUGUGUUUUAAAACAUGAUUUACAACAUUAUAAUACCUGUUAGAACUUUCUGUAAAUCUCAGAAUUAAAAAUAACUGACUCUGGUUCAGUUGUAAAAAUCUGCUGUGCGAUAACAAUUUAUUAUAUUAAUUUAAAUUAUAUCACAUUGUUUUAUAUUUAAACAUAUUUGCAUGAAAGUUGUUAAACUAUAUCUUAAAAUUUAAAAGUUGGUUUGUUGAUAUCUGACUUCCGGUCUUUCUCCCACUAACUGUGGCGCUGCUGACACAAAAUCAAUUGUCGAAUCAUCGUCCACUGUGUUGUACCCUGACUUUAGUCUCACAGGCAGAAUUCAUUCAUCAGUGACCAAAAUUGCAUUAAAGCAUAACAAAACUAUUAAA
Molecule: long non-coding RNA, 755 nt
Organism: Platichthys flesus (European flounder)
Lineage: Eukaryota; Metazoa; Chordata; Actinopteri; Pleuronectiformes; Pleuronectidae
Exons: 2
Source: RefSeq, a predicted model, not a curated record